Molecule: ribosomal RNA, 253 nt
Filed under: uncultured bacterium
Lineage: Bacteria
Description: partial 16S ribosomal RNA
Rfam family: Bacterial small subunit ribosomal RNA
Source: RNAcentral
UACGGAGGAGGCAAGCGUUAUCCGGAAUUAUUGGGCGUAAAGCGUCCGCAGGUGGCACUUCAAGUCUGUCGUCAAAGACUGGGGCUUAACCCCGGAAAGGCGGUGGAAACUGAAGCGCUAGAGUGCGGUAGGGGUAGAGGGAAUUCCCGGUGUAGCGGUGAAAUGCGUAGAGAUCGUAAGGAAGGCCAGUGGCGAAGGCGAGUUCCUGGACAGUGACUGACGCUGAGGCACGAAGGCCAGGGGAGCAAACGGG